Magnolia sinica is the source of this 739-nucleotide long non-coding RNA. RefSeq lists it as uncharacterized. The record is from RefSeq and is a predicted model, not a curated record. NCBI's taxonomy places the organism in Eukaryota, Viridiplantae, Streptophyta, Magnoliopsida, Magnoliales, Magnoliaceae. The transcript has 3 exons.
UAUUCGAAUUUCUAAGGUCAGUUGUACCCUGUCGCAUAGUCAAGAUAGUUUCCAUCUUCUUCUGUCUAUAUUACCACAGAUUCCAAGUUUUUGCAAAGAACCAUCUAGCAUUUCCCUCGGGUGUUUCUUUCUCUUGCGAAAGUCUUUGUGCUUUUGUUGACUCCACCAACAAAUGUGUAUUUUGAGACAAGCAAGCAUUUCCCCCUGUGAGCUGAAACUCACUCGUGGACAUUUCUUGUGUGUGUGUGCCCACACAUGCAUGGGGUGGGGGAAAGAGAGCAUGUGUACAUGUCUAUCUAUGCAUGUAUAUAUGUAUGUAUUUACGUAUUAAGGAAUACCAAUUGAUAAAAGGGAAAAACCUCUAAAUUCACUUGGUAGGAACUCCUUUCCUCUUCUUUUGUUUUUAUGUAUGAAUUUAGGAGCUCUUGUCAUUAUCUUUGCUAAAAUGAGAUCAACUGGGAAUGAACCUAUGUUCACAUAUAUAGGAUUUCACACCUUUGUGCCUGGCUGACACAUGUGGUGGCAUUUAGAUGGGCUAGGUUAUACAUGUGUAUGCUCAACACACCUCUAAACUCUAUAUGUGAGCCUCCUUUUUAGAUUUUUGUGUUUCUUAUUGAUGUUGCAUAACUUCUGCAGGCCUGCAAUGCUCAUGGGAUUUAUUGUGCUCCAUUAUAUGAUACCCUUGGUGUUGAAAGCAUUUCCUAAUGCAACCAAAUUCUUGAAAACAAUUGUGAGCUUC